GAUGAAAUUAGAAGAAAACCCAAAAUGAAGUCAAACCAAAGCAUUACAUAGAAUUGAUGAAAUGAACAUACCGUAGAGCUAUCUUCUUAUGAUUAUCAACGAGGAGAUAUGUGCCUUUAUCCAAGUAAGCCACAAAGAAGGUCAACACAAUAUCAAUGGCGAAGAAUGCAUCCACUACCAAAUCAACGGGUAAAAGAGACCCAGUCGCCACUUUCUUGAAGGCAAGCUCAAAGGGUGAUACCCACGCUGAGUAAACCACUAGUACUACCAGGAAAGUUUGCCACCACCUGCAUUCCAUCAUCAUUUAAAUUCCAAAAUGCCCAACCAAAGUGGUCCGCUCAUUUUCUCUCACCAAAAGCAAGUGUGUGUAUCCAUCGUUAACAACUGUUCCGAACGCCGGCAAGAGGCUGCUGGAAACUGACGUCAAAUUCUUUAUUUCGCCACUUGAGUGCCGCCGGAACAGCAAAGGCAUCGGCGACCUUGUUUCGGAGAUUGGCGUGGACAUUGUGUCUCACAACCUUCUGCAAAAUUUAUGAUCCAGAAAAAAAGAGAGUCAUUUCUCGUGCAUGCCUCGAAGACUUUUUAUAGACACAAAAAAGAGGAAGAGUUGACUCUUAAUUUCAGGACUUCAACAGGAGGGAAAAAAACGGAAGAUGUUGGGUUUAGGAACUGGAAAAAAGGCAAAUAUCUUUUACCAUACAUCCUCACGGUAAUUUUUAUACGGUAACUUUCUCUCUUCUUUGAAUGAAUAUUAUUCAAAUUCAGAUUCUCCUAUAUAUAUAUAUAUAUAUAUAAAAUACCUUAGAUUUACCGUGGGAGAGACUGGAAAAAAAGGGGAGAGAGAUAGAGAGAGAGAGAGAGAGAGAUGAAGAAAGAAGAAGCUUACUCAUAGGAAGGAAUGGGGAAAAUCCGAGGUAAGAAUAGGAUAUAUCAUUAAAUAAAAUAAUUGUGAAUGUGGAAUUAAUCCUAGAUCUAAUCAUAUUAUUCCUUUUUUUUUUCUUUCUAUUUUGAAUAGAAAAAAGAAAGUUAUUGAUGGUUUAUUAAUUGGUAUUGGUAUUGGUUGUUUUUGUUUUUGGUUUUUUAAUAGAAAAAUAUUUAGAGAUUUGUUGAACAUGGAAAGAAUUUUACUACUUUAUGCUCCGAUUUUUGCUGCUGUGACCUAUUUAGGCAUUAGAUUUUGUUUCCCCAUUUUAAUCAUCCAGUGUCUUGCAACUAAGACUACUGAUAUUUUAGGUUUGAUAAUUGUAUUUUGGAAGAGCUACCUGGCUGUA
This is a long non-coding RNA of Cucumis sativus (cucumber), 1271 nucleotides long. RefSeq lists it as uncharacterized. The record is from RefSeq and is a predicted model, not a curated record. Lineage: Eukaryota; Viridiplantae; Streptophyta; Magnoliopsida; Cucurbitales; Cucurbitaceae. The transcript is spliced from 3 exons.